This 333-nucleotide unclassified non-coding RNA is filed under the name soil metagenome. RNAcentral's name for it is "partial contains 5.8S ribosomal RNA, internal transcribed spacer 2, and large subunit ribosomal RNA". The stretch from base 1 to 121 matches the Rfam family "5.8S ribosomal RNA", at positions 35 to 154 of the family's 154-position model. The record is from RNAcentral.
GAUGAAGAACGCAGUGAAAUGCGAUAAGUAAUGCGAAUUGCAGAAUUUCCGUGAGUCAUCGAAUCUUUGAACGCACAUUGCGCCCACUGGUAUUCCGGUGGGCAUGCCUGUUCGAGCGUCAUUUCAACCCUCAAGCACAGCUUGGUGUUGGGACUCGCGUUAAUUCGCGUUCCUCAAAUUGAUUGGCGGUCACGUCGAGCUUCCAUAGCGUAGUAGUAAAACCCUCGUUACUGGUAAUCGUCGCGGCCACGCCGUUAAACCCCAACUUCUGAAUGUUGACCUCGGAUCAGGUAGGAAUACCCGCUGAACUUAAGCAUAUCAAUAAGCGGAGGA